UACGGGGGGGGCAAGCGUUGUUCGGAAUUACUGGGCGUAAAGGGCUCGUAGGUGGCCAACUAAGUCAUACGUGAAAUCCCUCGGCUUAACCGGGGAACUGCGUCUGAUACUGGAUGGCUUGAGUUCGGGAGAGGGAUGCGGAAUUCCAGGUGUAGCGGUGAAAUGCGCAGAUAUUGGGAAGAACACCCGUGGCGAAGGCGGCUCUCUGGAACGCAACUGACGCUGAGACGCGAAAGCGUGGGGAGCAAACAGG
This 253-nucleotide ribosomal RNA is filed under the name uncultured bacterium. RNAcentral describes it as "partial 16S ribosomal RNA". It matches the Rfam family "Bacterial small subunit ribosomal RNA", at positions 524 to 776 of the family's 1533-position model. The record is from RNAcentral.